Molecule: ribosomal RNA, 510 nt
Filed under: Mycobacterium avium
Lineage: Bacteria; Bacillati; Actinomycetota; Actinomycetes; Mycobacteriales; Mycobacteriaceae
Description: bacterial SSU rRNA
Rfam family: Bacterial small subunit ribosomal RNA
Source: RNAcentral
CGGAAAGGCCUCUUCKGAGGUACUCGAGUGGCGAACGGGUGAGUAACACGUGGGCAAUCUGCCCUGCACUUCGGGAUAAGCCUGGGAAACUGGGUCUAAUACCGGAUAGGACCUUUAGACGCAUGUCUUUUGGUGGAAAGCUUUUGCGGUGUGGGAUGGGCCCGCGGCCUAUCAGCUUGUUGGUGGGGUGAUGGCCUACCAAGGCGACGACGGGUAGCCGGCCUGAGAGGGUGUCCGGCCACACUGGGACUGAGAUACGGCCCAGACUCCUACGGGAGGCAGCAGUGGGGAAUAUUGCACAAUGGGCGCAAGCCUGAUGCAGCGACGCCGCGUGGGGGAUGACGGCCUUCGGGUUGUAAACCUCUUUCACCAUCGACGAAGGUCCGGGUUUUCUCGGAUUGACGGUAGGUGGAGAAGAAGCACCGGCCAACUACGUGCCAGCAGCCGCGGUAAUACGUAGGGUGCGAGCGUUGUCCGGAAUUACUGGGCGUAAAGAGCUCGUAGGUGGUU